This is a long non-coding RNA of Pieris napi, 822 nucleotides long. RefSeq lists it as uncharacterized. The record is from RefSeq and is a predicted model, not a curated record. The transcript is spliced from 3 exons. Lineage: Eukaryota; Metazoa; Arthropoda; Insecta; Lepidoptera; Pieridae.
GUCCGGCAGUCAGCCGCUUGACGCCGGCCGGCGCGUUUGUCAGUUUAAAUCCGACUCUACCGAAACUUCGGGAUCGUGUCGAAAAAGAAAACCAUGUAUUGUGAAUUAACUAUUGCGAUUGGACCAAUGUAUUAUUUAUAAGAGACUCGAGACCAAGUAUCGGCAUUCAGGAUAUCUCCUGAAGACACCCGCAGAUUGUAAUGUCUUGGCGUGAUGCAACUUGUAAUGGUCAACUUCCUCAUCAUGUUUGACGUCGUAUUUGUAUUCUUCUUAUUCCUCAUCGCUGUUACAUGUAUCAUGAAUUAUAUGCCGGGGAGGAAGAGACAGGAAGUGACGCAAGAGGAAGUGAAAAGUGACGUCAUUCCUCCCCCGCCGCUGUUCGCUGGUGAUGAUUACCAAAAGGAGAGAGAUACAUAUGUUGUUAUAUCACCGCCGCUUGAAAAUGCUAGGAAGGAUGGGUGUCCAAUUCACAUUGUUUAGUAUAAGUGGCAAAUCAUCGUUGGAGUUUAAAAAAGCCUUAUGUAACUACAAAUAUUAGACGUUUUAGAUAUUAAGAUGGGGUUUAUUUUCACGCAUUUAUAGGUAGUUGUUUUAUAGGUCCGAUACAAUUAGUAAAACUUAUUGAAUUUAUAUAUUAGGUCCAAGACGAGACAAAAGGGAAUCAAGGCCCGUUGGGAAUAUAGCUGAAAGAGAGCUGUAGAAAUUUCUAGAUAAUAUGCAUAUAAAAUUGUAACUGAUGUUUGUAUAUAGAAGAUAGUUAAGUAUUUUAUAACCAAUGGAAUCGUUUUAAUUUGGCUUGUCUAUGCGCAUUAUUCUUAAGCU